Molecule: ribosomal RNA, 495 nt
Filed under: uncultured bacterium
Lineage: Bacteria
Description: partial 16S ribosomal RNA
Rfam family: Bacterial small subunit ribosomal RNA
Source: RNAcentral
GACGAACGCUGGCGGCGUGCCUAAUACAUGCAAGUAGAACGCUGAAGGAGGAGCUUGCUUCUCUGGAUGAGUUGCGAACGGGUGAGUAACGCGUAGGUAACCUGCCUGGUAGCGGGGGAUAACUAUUGGAAACGAUAGCUAAUACCGCAUAAUAUUGACUAUUGCAUGAUAGUCAGUUGAAAGGCGCAACUGCACCACUACCAGAUGGACCUGCGUUGUAUUAGCUAGUUGGUGGGGUAACGGCUCACCAAGGCGACGAUACAUAGCCGACCUGAGAGGGGGCACGGCCACACUGGGACUGAGACACGGCCCAGACUCCUGCGGGAGGCAGCAGGAGGGGAACUUCGGCAAUGGGCGGAAGUCUGACCGAGCAACGCCGGGUGAGUGGAGAAGGGUGUCGGAUCGUAAAGCUCUGUUGUAAGGGAAGAAAGAGUGUGAGAGUGGAAAGCUCACACUGUGACGGUAUCUUACCAGAAAGGGACGGCUAACUACGUG